Molecule: ribosomal RNA, 253 nt
Filed under: uncultured bacterium
Lineage: Bacteria
Description: partial 16S ribosomal RNA
Rfam family: Bacterial small subunit ribosomal RNA
Source: RNAcentral
UACGUAGGGGGCAAGCGUUGUCCGGAAUCAUUGGGCGUAAAGCGCGCGUAGGCGGCCCGGUAAGUCCGUUGUGAAAGUCAAAGGCUCAACCUUUGAACGCCGAUGGAUACUGCCGGGCUAGAGUCCGGAAGAGGCGAGUGGAAUUCCUGGUGUAGCGGUGGAAUGCGCAGAUAUCAGGAGGAACACCAAUGGCGAAGGCAGAUCUCUGGGCCGUAACUGACGCUGAGGAGCGAAAGCAUGGGGAGCGAACAGG